This 481-nucleotide ribosomal RNA is filed under the name uncultured bacterium. RNAcentral describes it as "partial 16S ribosomal RNA". It matches the Rfam family "Bacterial small subunit ribosomal RNA", at positions 28 to 507 of the family's 1533-position model. The record is from RNAcentral.
GAUGAACGCUGGCGGCGUGCUUAACACAUGCAAGUCGAACGAAGCACUUUAUUUGAUUUCCUUCGGGACUGAUUAUUUUGUGACUGAGUGGCGGACGGGUGAGUAACGCGUGGGUAACCUGCCUUGUACAGGGGGAUAACAGUUGGAAACGGCUGCUAAUACCGCAUAAGCGCACAGCAUCGCAUGAUGCAGUGUGAAAAACUCCGGUGGUAUAAGAUGGACCCGCGUUGGAUUAGCUAGUUGGUGAGGUAACGGCCCACCAAGGCGACGAUCCAUAGCCGACCUGAGAGGGUGACCGGCCACAUUGGGACUGAGACACGGCCCAAACUCCUACGGGAGGCAGCAGUGGGGAAUAUUGCACAAUGGGCGAAAGCCUGAUGCAGCGACGCCGCGUUAGCGAAGAAGUAUUUCGGUAUGUAAAGCUCUAUCAGCAGGGAAGAUAAUGACGGUACCUGACUAAGAAGCACCGGCUAAAUACGUG